Molecule: ribosomal RNA, 777 nt
Filed under: uncultured Neocallimastigales
Lineage: Eukaryota; Fungi; Neocallimastigomycota; Neocallimastigomycetes; Neocallimastigales
Description: partial large subunit ribosomal RNA
Rfam family: Eukaryotic large subunit ribosomal RNA
Source: RNAcentral
UAUGUGAUCGUCUCUCGCAUAUCAAUAAGCGGAGGAAAAGAAACUAACAAGGAUUCCCCUAGUAACGGCGAGUGAAGCGGGAAGAGCUCAAAUUUGAAAUCUUAAAGGGUUUCCCUUUACGAAUUGUAGUUUAAAGAAGUGUUUUCUGUUGAGGUUUUGGUAAAAGUUCUUUGGAAUAGGACAUCAUAGAGGGUGAGAAUCCCGUAUUUGACCUUUACUUUCAACUUUGUGAUACACUUUCAAAGAGUCGGAUUGUUUGGGAAUGCAGUCCAAAAUGGGUGGUAAAUUUCAUCUAAAGCUAAAUAUUGGCGAGAGACCGAUAGCGAACAAGUACCGUGAGGGGAAAGAUGAAAGAGAACUUUGAAAAGAGAGUUAAACAGUACGUGAAAUUGUCAAAAGGGAAGCGUUUGACACCAGUGUUGGUUUUUCUGAAAAUCAAUUAAAGAACUGUUUAUGCUAAGUUGUUUAGACUUUAUCAGCUAUCUGUUUAGUUUUGAGCCUUUUCUUUAAUGCACUUUUCAGUUAACAAGUCAACAUCAAUUUCUUUUGCUGUAAAAAAGCUUGAGGAAGGUGGCUUGAGAUUCGUCUUAAGUGUUUAUAGCCUCUUGCCUAUGCAGUCGGAGAGAUUGAGGUCUGCAGCGUAGAUCCUUCGGGGCUAAAUGCAUUUGUGCUAAGUUAUAGCAUUUUAUAGACAACUUGUUGACUAUGAUUUGUCUUGUAGCUUACUCGCUUAUGUUAUUUUACCUACGCUUAGGAUGUUGAAGAUAUGCGCGCACG